UGAUGGAUAAGGAGCAAAUU
Molecule: microRNA, 20 nt
Filed under: Strongyloides ratti
Lineage: Eukaryota; Metazoa; Nematoda; Chromadorea; Rhabditida; Strongyloididae
Description: str-miR-7880n-5p
Source: miRBase by way of RNAcentral